AAAAGGGUGGUAAUGCCGGAUGCUCCGACUCCUCGCAUGGGGUGUCGGGAAAGAUUUCAUCGGUAUGGGAUGGGGUCGCGUCCUAUCAGGUAGUCGGCGGGGUAACGGCCCACCGAGCCUACGACGGGUAGCCGGCCUGAGAGGGCGACCGGCCACAUUGGGACUGAGAUACGGCCCAGACUCCUACGGGAGGCAGCAGUGGGGAAUAUUGCACAAUGGGCGCAAGCCUGAUGCAGCGACGCCGCGUGCGGGAUGACGGCCUUCGGGUUGUAAACCGCUUUUGAUCGGGAGCAAGCCUUCGGGUGAGUGUACCUUUCGAAUAAGCACCGGCUAACUACGUGCCAGCAGCCGCGGUAAUACGUAGGGUGCAAGCGUUAUCCGGAAUUAUUGGGCGUAAAGGGCUCGUAGGCGGUUCGUCGCGUCCGGUGUGAAAGUCCAUCGCUUAACGGUGGAUCUGCGCCGGGUACGGGCGGGCUGGAGUGCGGUAGGGGAGACUGGAAUUCCCGGUGUAACGGUGGAAUGUGUAGAUAUCGGAAAGAACACCAAAG
This 548-nucleotide ribosomal RNA is filed under the name Bifidobacterium pseudocatenulatum. RNAcentral describes it as "bacterial SSU rRNA". It matches the Rfam family "Bacterial small subunit ribosomal RNA", at positions 154 to 714 of the family's 1533-position model. Lineage: Bacteria; Bacillati; Actinomycetota; Actinomycetes; Bifidobacteriales; Bifidobacteriaceae. The record is from RNAcentral.